AUUGAACGCUGGCGGCAGGCCUAACACAUGCAAGUCGAGCGGUAGAGAGGUGCUUGCAUCUCUUGAGAGCGGCGGACGGGUGAGUAAUGCCUAGGAAUCUGCCUAGUGGUGGGGGAUAACGUUCGGAAACGGACGCUAAUACCGCAUACGUCCUACGGGAGAAAGCGGGGGAUCUUCGGACCUCGCGCCAUUAGAUGAGCCUAGGUCGGAUUAGCUAGUAGGUGAGGUAAUGGCUCACCUAGGCGACGAUCCGUAACUGGUCUGAGAGGAUGAUCAGUCACACUGGAACUGAGACACGGUCCAGACUCCUACGGGAGGCAGCAGUGGGGAAUAUUGGACAAUGGGCGAAAGACCUGAUCCAGCCAUGCCGCGUGUGUGAAGAAAGGUCUUCGGAUUGUAAAGCACUUUAAGUUGGGUAGGAAGGG
RNAcentral lists this ribosomal RNA (425 nucleotides) under uncultured bacterium. RNAcentral describes it as "bacterial SSU rRNA". It matches the Rfam family "Bacterial small subunit ribosomal RNA", at positions 30 to 453 of the family's 1533-position model. The record is from RNAcentral.